GAAGGAACGAGGCCUGUUAUCAUAAUUUCCCUCAAAUGUGAAGUAUUCGGCAGAAUGAUCAAGCCGAUUGAACCCCCCGAACAAUGGAUCGUCUGAGUCCAAGACAAUCUUGUAUUUUCCAGGCUUUAGGCACCCCACUCGGUAGUCGUAAUAGCUGUUACCCCAAUGGAAAUUGAAAACGAAAACCAGAUCCCCCCUCUCAAACACAAUGAUUUUAUCUCCAUCGUCUUUUCGAGAAACAUAUUGGUGUCCAGAUGUCAUGAAGCCAAAUGAUUCUUCA
This 280-nucleotide unclassified non-coding RNA is filed under the name Hevea brasiliensis (rubber tree). Lineage: Eukaryota; Viridiplantae; Streptophyta; Magnoliopsida; Malpighiales; Euphorbiaceae. The record is from RNAcentral.